RNAcentral lists this long non-coding RNA (1241 nucleotides) under Ficedula albicollis (Collared flycatcher). RNAcentral describes it as "lncRNA (ENSFALG00000022937.1)". Lineage: Eukaryota; Metazoa; Chordata; Aves; Passeriformes; Muscicapidae. The record is from RNAcentral.
CCCCCCCCCCCCCCCCCCCCCCCCCCCCCCCCCCCCCCCCCCCCCCCCAGAAGGAGAGGCUGGGGAGGGAGAGGGAGAUGUUGGGGAUGGAGAAAGAGAAGAUGGGGAUGGAGAAGGAGAGGAUGGGGAGGGAGAAGGAGAGGAUGGGGAUGGGAAAAGGAAGGAUGAGCAAGUGGAAAAGAGGCUGGGGAUGGAGAGAGGGAGGAUGGGGAUGGAAAAAGGGAGAAUGGGCAAGUGGGAGGAGAGGUUGGGGAUGAAGAAGGAGAGGAUGGGGAAGUGGAAAAAGAGGCUGGGGAUGGAGAAAGGGAGGAUGGGGAUGGAAAAAGAGAAUGGGGAAGUGGAAAGAGAAGCCGGAGAUGGAGAAAGGGAGGGUGGGGAUGGGUAAGGGGAGGCUGGGAAGAGAGAAGGAGAGGCUGGGAAUGGCGACGCUCUUCCGAUCUGGGAAGAGAGAAGGAGAGGCUGGGAAUGGAGAAAGGAAGGAUGGGAAUGGAGAGGGGGACACGGGAAGGAAUAAAGGAGGUUGUAGAUAAAGAAAGGGAGGGAGGAUGGGGAUGGAGAAAUAGAGGAUGGGAGGGAGGGAGGACGAGGAGGGAUGUCACGACACGGGGCUGACACGGGGCUCCCCGCCUGAGCUUCACCCCGGGAGCCUCCCCGGCUUUGCGAGGACUCGGGUACCCAGCCUUCCUCCGUACCCCGAUGGGGGGUCCCCGCUCGGGACAUCCCCCCGGGCUCUGCGGGCAUCGAGGCAAGGGCUGCACGCCCACCCCACUGCCCGCUGCCCCCGGGGGUCCCAGCCCCACGGGCUCCAUCCCCAGCAGCACAGGGCCGGGUUCCUGCUCCUCCCGAUGGCUCAUCCCGCUCGCUGGCCCCGCAGCCGGGCUUGGAGGGUGCAGGUGAGCAUCCCCUGUGCCCCCUCCCCGGGAGAGAGCGGGGCUGGAGCUGCUGCACCCCGCAGCCGGGCUUGGAGGGUGAAGGUGAGCAUCCCCUGUGCCCCCUCCCCGGGAGAGAGCGGGGCUGGAGCUGCUGCACUGCAGCGCCGAGCCCCAUCCGCGCCUCUGGGUGUGCCCGGGAGGAGCAGGGACCCUCUGUGCCCCCCCAGCCCCUCCUCGGAGCCGAGGCGACAGCCUGGGGACCUGUGGCUGCCAGCGGCCCCCCAGGCCAAUGAUCCCUGUGCUCCAGAGGAGGGUGUUGGGCUGCUGGAUGCUCCAGACCCUCCAGGGCAUCCCCCUGGGCAUUCCUGA